This 253-nucleotide ribosomal RNA is filed under the name uncultured bacterium. RNAcentral's name for it is "partial 16S ribosomal RNA". It matches the Rfam family "Bacterial small subunit ribosomal RNA", at positions 524 to 776 of the family's 1533-position model. The record is from RNAcentral.
UACGGAGGGGACUAGCGUUGUUCGGAAUUACUGGGCGUAAAGCGCACGUAGUCGGAUUUGUAAGUCAGGGGUGAAAUCCCGGGGCUCAACCUCGGAACUGCCUUUGAUACUGCAAAUCUCGAGUCCGGAAGAGGUGAGUGGAAUUCCUAGUGUAGAGGUGAAAUUCGUAGAUAUUAGGAAGAACACCAGUGGCGAAGGCGGCUCACUGGUCCGGUACUGACGCUGAGGUGCGAAAGCGUGGGUAGCAAACAGG